RNAcentral lists this long non-coding RNA (435 nucleotides) under Theobroma cacao (cacao). Its description in RNAcentral is "long non-coding RNA (TCAC_LNC002405)". Lineage: Eukaryota; Viridiplantae; Streptophyta; Magnoliopsida; Malvales; Malvaceae. The record is from RNAcentral.
UAUAAACUCAGUGAGUAAACAAACAUCAUCUAAAAUAUCUAAAGUCGAGUAAAUGGAGACAACUUAAAAUAGUUCAUCGUACUAUGAUUCAUAACGUUUCAAACUCAUUUAAACUAAAUAAAAUAAUUUCAUUUCACUCAAAUAAUCAACAUGGCUUAUGAAUUUCUUAAAAAUUUGGCUCGUGCCAAAACUCAUUCUCGGGGAUACCUUGGCCGGGGCAUCCAACCGAGUCCGCCAAGGCUGUUAAAGAAAAGUUCAUAUACGCAUAAAACACAUUUUUACGUUUAAAAGCAUAGCCGUUCCUUGGCGUUGGCUGAGUUCACCCUCACGUGGUGGUUUAGCGUGUAGUGAACUCUAAAGCUUUACCUCAGGAGAUACCCUCCGCGCCUCUCGUACCGAGGUAAAAUAUAAUCGAGUUUACCAUGCCCCUCUCUA